AACGAACGCUGGCGGCGUGCCUAAUACAUGCAAGUCGUGCGAGAAAAGGGGGGCAACUCCCUGAGUACAGCGGCGCACGGGUGAGUAACACGUAGGUAACCUGCCCUCGAGCCUGGAAUAACCUACCGAAAGGUGGGCUAAUACCGGAUAUGACCACGGGCGUCUCGGCGCUUGCGGUGAAAGGUGGCCUCUACUUGUAAGCUACCACUCAAGGAUGAGCCUGCGGGCCAUUAGCUAGUUGGCGGGGUAACGGCCCACCAAGGCAAUGAUGGCUAGCUGGUCUGAGAGGAUGGCCAGCCACACUGGGACUGAAACACGGCCCAGACACCUACGGAGGCAG
Molecule: ribosomal RNA, 340 nt
Filed under: uncultured Pseudomonadota bacterium
Lineage: Bacteria; Pseudomonadati; Pseudomonadota
Description: bacterial SSU rRNA
Rfam family: Bacterial small subunit ribosomal RNA
Source: RNAcentral